CUCCAUCUUUUAUUUAUUUAACAAUUGAUCAAUAUUGUACCAGAAGUGACUCCAAUAAACCUGAAAGUGGGAUCCAAACUUUAAACUCUUGAAUCCACUACCUUCAAAACCAAAUACAUUCUUCUGUUUCAUAAUUUUGAAUAAAAAUUUUCAAACUGAUUCUAAGGUAAAUGCUUCACUCACAGCUCUGUCUGCACUCUAUACCUCUGAAAGCUGAUGCAAGGUCACUACUCCAAGGUUGUUUGGAAUCUUGGAUGGCAAAUUUACGGAAAUUUUAAAGGGAAGGUGCAUAGGGAAUUAAAUUGCAUCUAUUAAUUUUACCAAAUUACUAGCUUCUGUAUUUAUUUUGAGAAUUAAAUUUUUUGAAUAAUCAACUACACGUACUCAGUUACACACUAGUUAUGACUGGAGAAUGUGUAACUUGUCUAAGUUUCACAACUCAAUUUCAGUGAAGGUGUUUAACAAAGGCCUAAUGCCACAUAGACUUUUGUACAAUGAAAAUGCAGUCAUAGGCACCACUAAGUCAAAAGUUAGUUAGUUGUUUACAAUAAUUUAAGGGUUAAAUAGGAUUUUUAAGUCCCUAC
RNAcentral lists this long non-coding RNA (584 nucleotides) under Trifolium pratense (red clover). Its description in RNAcentral is "long non-coding RNA (TPRA_LNC004910)". The record is from RNAcentral. Lineage: Eukaryota; Viridiplantae; Streptophyta; Magnoliopsida; Fabales; Fabaceae.